UGUUUAAGUUAGGGCACGGAUUUUUGCAA
Molecule: non-coding RNA, 29 nt
Filed under: Rattus norvegicus (Norway rat)
Lineage: Eukaryota; Metazoa; Chordata; Mammalia; Rodentia; Muridae
Source: RNAcentral